CCGUCGCCGCGCGAUGCAUUGUGGUACGUGCAGUCCGGUGCCCCUGCCCGCCCCCGCCUGAGGCGCUCUGGCCCGGAGGGCAUUAGCUGUUCUUGGGUGUUAAUAAAACUAGAAAGUGUAUUCUCUCAGGCUGACAGUGUUGCUCUCAAGCUACUCUGGGUGGUUUCUUUUUGUCCGAAACCUGUGGUAAGCUCCUGGCUCAGAAAAGCAGGAAUCCGUCGAAGUACAAAACUGCAACCCAUCCUUCUGCCAGUGUUGAUCCGCCUGCCCUCAGGAGUAAGUGUCCUGCAGUGUUUGCAAAAAGAGUCACGGAGUGCAAGUGAGUCAUCCUGUUAACUGCGUGGGUUUGCAGCUGCUCAAAGGGAAAACAGGACCAGGAGACUUCAGCCUUGAUGUUACAGUGCAACCUACCGACUGACGGAUGGAAUUUGGAGUGCAGCUCUGGAAGAGAAAAUACAAGCAGCAGCCCAAGGGACCCUUCCCAGACAUGGAGGAGUGCGGGGGGAUCCGCUAAGGACACGGAGCCUCCCUGCUGAGAGCGCCUCGGCUGCGCACGCAGCUGGGGCCGCUCGGAGCUGGAGCCUCACGGAGCUGGGGCCGCACGGAGCUGGGGCCGCGGCCGGGCCAGCCGGGAGAUGGCUCUGUCCCACCUGUCUGCAGAAGCGGCGCUACACGCUCCCAUUCCCUACAGGUGUCCGCCAGAGGGGGCCCGGCCCCCGCCGUUCUCCAGCUCCUGAACCGAAGGCCAUUUGACAGCCGAGCAGCCCCAGCUUUCCUUUAUUUCUCUUUUUUGCCCGCGGCUGUUUCCCAUGGUAAAGCGAACUCGAUUAUAAAAUCCUGUGUGACGAUUUAGCCUAUAAGGUUUUCAAUUUCUAUUUGAAGUGCAGGAGAGAUUAAAGGGAGGGCUUUGGUUUGUGUAUCUUCUUGCCAAACUCAGUUGUUGAGCAGUAGGUUGUACAUUCUCUGUCCUACAAAGUUAUAGCCACUCUGCUCUGGGCAGCUCCCACCUGGAGUGCUGCAUCCUGGUCUGGAGUCCUCAGCACAGAAAAGACAAGGACCUGUUGGAGCACAUCCAGAAGAGGGCCACUAAGAUGAUUAGGGAGCUGGAGCACCUUUCCUAUGAGGACAUGCUGAGAGAGUCAGGUCGAGUUAAGUAAAGAGAUGAGAAGGCUCUGGGAAGGCCUUAUUGCAGCCUUUCAUACUUAUAGGGGGUUUAUAUGAGAUGGGAGCAAGAAUUUUAGCAGGGCUUGUGAUAGGACAAGGGACAAUGGUUUUGCACUAAUAUAAGGGAAAAAGUUUUUAUGUGGGUGGUGAGACACUGUAGCAGAGAGAUGGUGGAAACAUUCAAAGUCAGGUUGGAUGGGGCUCUGAGCAACUUGGUCUAGUUGAAGAUGGCUGCUUAUUGCAGGGUUUUGGACCAGGUGACCUUUAUGUGUCCCUUUCAACCCAAACUAUUCUAUGAUUCAGUAACCGGGGCUGUAGUCAUGCAAGCCUCAUCUCAACCACAGUUGUUUAUGUGAGGAAAAUGUAUCUUAAAAUAAACACAGAAAUAGACCUAUGAGUAGUACA
Zonotrichia leucophrys gambelii is the source of this 1569-nucleotide long non-coding RNA. RefSeq lists it as uncharacterized. The transcript is spliced from 2 exons. The record is from RefSeq and is a predicted model, not a curated record. Lineage: Eukaryota; Metazoa; Chordata; Aves; Passeriformes; Passerellidae.